GGUGAACGCUGGCGGCGUGCCUAAUACAUGCAAGUCGAGCGAACAGACGAGGAGCUUGCUCCUCUGACGUUAGCGGCGGACGGGUGAGUAACACGUGGAUAACCUACCUAUAAGACUGGGAUAACUUCGGGAAACCGGAGCUAAUACCGUAUAACAUGUUGAACCGCAUGGUUCAACAGUGAAAGACGGUCUUGCUGUCACUUAUAGAUGGAUCCGCGCCGCAUUAGCUAGUUGGUAAGGUAACGGCUUACCAAGGCAACGAUGCGUAGCCGACCUGAGAGGGUGAUCGGCCACACUGGAACUGAGACACGGUCCAGACUCCUACGGGAGGCAGCAGUAGGGAAUCUUCCGCAAUGGGCGAAAGCCUGACGGAGCAACGCCGCGUGAGUGAAGAAGGUCUUCGGAUCGUAAAACUCUGUUAUUAGGGAAGAACAAAUGUGUAAGUAACUAUGCACGUCUUGACGGUACCUAAUCAGAAAGCCACGGCUAACUACGUG
Molecule: ribosomal RNA, 497 nt
Filed under: uncultured bacterium
Lineage: Bacteria
Description: partial 16S ribosomal RNA
Rfam family: Bacterial small subunit ribosomal RNA
Source: RNAcentral